CUAAGGAAGGCAGCAGGCGCGUAAAUUACCCAAUCCUAAUACGGGGAGUAGUGACAAGAAAUAUUGAUAUUGGACCAAAGGGUACAAUGAUUGAAAUGAGAACAAUAUAAAAAACUUAACGACUAACAAUUGGAGGGCAAGUCUGGUGCCAGCAGCCGCGGUAAUUCCAGCUCCAAGAGUGUAUAUUAAAGUUGUUGCGGUUAAAAAGCUCGUAGUUGAAUUUCUGAAAAUAAUCUUGUGAUUGAUUUAACCGUCAUGAACAAAAAUUGUUUACAUACUUGAUAGAUGGAAACAUUUAUCUUAAUGACUUUGAAAAAAUUAGAGUGUUCAAAGCAUGAUUCACAUUUGAAUAAUACAGCAUGGGAUAAUAUAAUAUGACAUUAGUUAAAAAUUUGUUGGUUUCUUUGGCUAAUGUAAUGAUUAAAAGGGAC
Molecule: ribosomal RNA, 431 nt
Filed under: uncultured eukaryote
Lineage: Eukaryota
Description: bacterial SSU rRNA
Rfam family: Eukaryotic small subunit ribosomal RNA
Source: RNAcentral